CUGUGGUUUCCCCUCAGGUGCGUUAGGAAGGAAGAGGGGAUAUCCGGAGCCCAAGUGAUUGCGUGAACGACAGGGAAAGAAGCUGUCUCCAUGAUGUAAAAGUACAAGGUGGGGCAGCAAGUGCUGAUGGAGAAGCUGCAGCAAGCUCUCCAGAAGAUCCAGCUAAGGGCUUGAAAGAAGUUGAUUCCAACUGUCAUGGAUGACUUUGAGGUGACAGGUCCAGUGGAGGAAGUAACUGCAAAUGUGUUGAAAGUAUCAUAAUAGCAAGAGAAUUAGAGUUAAACGUGGGCCUGAAGAUGUGACUGAAUUGCUGCCAUCUCAGGAUAAAACUUGAACAGAUGAAGAAUUGAUUCUUAUGGACAAAGAAAGUUUUUUUUUAAUUUUCUUGUUUAUUUAUUUAUUUAGGCAGAGAUGGGGGUCUCACCAUGUUGCACAGGCUGGUCUUGAACUCCUGGACUCAAGUGAUUCUCCUGCCUUGGCCUCCCAAAUUGCUGGGAUUACAGGCGUGAGCCACCGUGCCUGGCUGAAAGUGGUUUCUUGAGAUAGAAUCUACUCUUGGUGAAGAUGCUACGGACAUUGUUGAAAUGACAACAAGGGAUUAGAAUAUUGCACAGGACCCAGUGCAGUAGCUCAGGCCUGUAAUCCCAACACUUUGGGAGGCUGAAGUGGGAGGAUCGCUUGAGACCAGGAAUUUGAGACCUGCCUGGACAACAUGGUGAGACCUCAUCUCUCCAAAAAAACGUUGGCUAGGCACCGUGGCACUUGCUUUAGGUCCUGGCUACCCGGGAGGCUAAGGUGGGAGGAUCACUUGAACCCAGGAUAUCGAGGCUGCAGUGAGCCAUUAUUGUGCCACUGCACUCCAGCCUAAGUGACAGAACAAGACCCUGUCUCUUAAAAAAAAAAAAAAAAAAGAAUAUGACAUAAACUUAGUUGGUAAAGCAGCAGCAGUGUUUGAGAGGGUUGACUUCAAUUUUGAAAGAAGUUCUACUAUGAAUAAAAUGCUAUCAAACAGUG
This is a long non-coding RNA of Pan troglodytes (chimpanzee), 1014 nucleotides long. RefSeq lists it as uncharacterized. The transcript is spliced from 3 exons. Lineage: Eukaryota; Metazoa; Chordata; Mammalia; Primates; Hominidae. The record is from RefSeq and is a predicted model, not a curated record.